GCCCGGGUGGCGAAAUUGGUAGACGCAGGGGACUCAAAAUCCCCCGCCGCAAGGCGUGCCGGUUCGAGUCCGGCCCCGGGCACCA
RNAcentral lists this transfer RNA (85 nucleotides) under Vogesella perlucida. RNAcentral's name for it is "tRNA-Leu". It matches the Rfam family "tRNA". From Rfam's summary of the family: Transfer RNA (tRNA) molecules are approximately 80 nucleotides in length. Their secondary structure includes four short double-helical elements and three loops (D, anti-codon, and T loops). RNAcentral also lists the same sequence under 6 other names. Lineage: Bacteria; Pseudomonadati; Pseudomonadota; Betaproteobacteria; Neisseriales; Chromobacteriaceae. The record is from RNAcentral.